UACGUAGGUGGCAAGCGUUGUCCGGAUUUACUGGGUGUAAAGGGCGUGCAGCCGGGCUGACAAGUCGGAUGUGAAAUCCCGCGGCUCAACCGCGGAACUGCAUUUGAAACUGUCAGUCUUGAGUACCGGAGAGGUCAUCGGAAUUCCUUGUGUAGCGGUGAAAUGCGUAGAUAUAAGGAAGAACACCAGUGGCGAAGGCGGAUGACUGGACGGCAACUGACGGUGAGGCGCGAAAGCGUGGGGAGCAAACAGG
RNAcentral lists this ribosomal RNA (253 nucleotides) under uncultured bacterium. RNAcentral's name for it is "partial 16S ribosomal RNA". It matches the Rfam family "Bacterial small subunit ribosomal RNA", at positions 524 to 776 of the family's 1533-position model. The record is from RNAcentral.